GAAGACAAUUGUGUUAUUUAUAGUUAUUACAUUUUAAUGUUGAUUAUUGUUCAUAACAAUCGUGCUAUCUUACGAUUACUCGUGUACAAUUUGCUCUAGAAUCCAACAAUCUUCUCAUUUCAUCUUGGGAUUCUAGUAUUAGGUUGGUGGAUGUGGAAAGCAGUAAGCUUAGAUUAGAAGUUCAAACAGAAGCUGCAGUACUUGAUUGCUGUUUUCAGAAUGCGUUUGUUUCUUUCUCUGCUGCUUCUGAUGGAUCCAUUUUCAGUCGAAAUUUACCUAAAAAGGUAAGAAAGAAUGAAAAUCGAAGGAAGACAAUGAGAAAGGGAGAGAAUGUAGGAGAGAUAAGGAGGAACUUAAGGUGGAAUUGUACUCUUAGUAUCCCUAUGGUUUACAGCCAGUUGUACCCUUUUGAAGUUCUGUUGAAUUAUACUUCAGGAAUCAUUCAUCAUGUUAGACUUGAAGGUAUGAAACUAUGAAUUCAACUAUUUAUUUUAAUUUGCUUGAGUUGUUUGUAAUUUUGAUUAGUUUUUAUCAAUUUGUUUAUGUGGUUGUCCUUUUGAUGAAUC
This is a long non-coding RNA of Chenopodium quinoa (quinoa), 566 nucleotides long. RefSeq lists it as uncharacterized. NCBI's taxonomy places the organism in Eukaryota, Viridiplantae, Streptophyta, Magnoliopsida, Caryophyllales, Amaranthaceae. The transcript has 3 exons. The record is from RefSeq and is a predicted model, not a curated record.